CACACACACUAACAGCGCCUUUAUAAACGCAUGUGACGUCAGUCGAGCGGCUCAGCCUCGGGAAUGAAGAUGGUUCUCAUCAAAGAAUACCACAUUGUUUUGCCAUGCACUGUUGAAGAGUAUCAAGUAGGGCAGCUGUACUCUGUGGCAGAAGCCAGCAAGAACGAGACCGGCGGAGGAGAGGGCAUUGAGAUAUUGAAGAACGAGCCCUAUGAAAAGGAUGGCGAGAAAGGACAGUACACGCACAAAAUCUACCAUCUCAAAAGCAAAGUACCAGGCUUUGUAAAGGUGAUCGCUCCUGAAGGUUCGCUUGUGUUCCACGAAAAGGCCUGGAAUGCCUACCCUUACUGCCGAACAAUUGUAACGAAUGAGUACAUGAAGGAUGAUUUUUUCAUCAAGAUUGAAACAUGGCACAAACCUGAUCUUGGAACACUAGAAAAUGUUCACAAACUGGACAGCUCUAAGUGGAAGUCUGUGGAGGUCACACCUAUUGACAUUGCAGACAAAGAACAAGUGUCCCCUGGUGACUACAAGGUAGAUGAGGAUCCAGCUAUUUUUAAGUCAGUCAAGACCGGCAGAGGACCACUGGGACCCAAUUGGAUGAACGAACUGGUUAAUAACCCUGACUGCCCACGAAUGUGUGCUUACAAGCUGGUCACGGUCAAGUUUAAGUGGUGGGGCCUGCAGAACAGGAUAGAAAGCUUCCUUCACAAGAGAAGAGAAUCUUCACCAACUUCCACCGGCAGCUGUUCUGCUGGAUUGAUAAGUGGGUAGAGCUCAACAUGGAGGACAUCAGACGGAUGGAAGAGGAGACACAGAAAGAGCUGGAGGAGCUUCGCAAGCAAGGUCAAGUGCGAGGAACCAGUGCUGCUGAUGAAUGAGACCAACCACGACCACCGCUUUCCUCAAGAAGAGGAUCGGCCAGGCCAAAUCACACCAGUGGAGCCAAUCCCAUUAGAUUUACUCAGUCAGGAGCUCUACAUUUAGAUUCGUUACUGAUAUUUUAGAUAUAAACCUCUCUUCCCCACAGUGCCUUUAUCACAAAUACUGAAGAAAAACUUUUUUUUUUGUCUUGUUCAUUCACUUACUCAUUUAAAGCAGUUUUCUAGACGUUUCCCUCAGGGCAGGGCCAGGCUUUACAUUUCACUUCCUCCACUCUUGUCUGGUCCUGCCUGGGCUUUAUUAGGAACAAACUUUGGGAACACGCCAUUUACAAUCAAUUUUCGCUCCAAAAAUCACAAUUGUACAAGCAUAUAUAUGCACACAGAUGCACAAACACUCCCAGGUGUGAAUUCCUGUGUGGUGAUUUCCCACAAGGCCUUUAAGGGUGAAGAUUGCCUUUAGUGUGUUUAAUUGCAUGCUUCUUUUCAAAAUCUGUUAUAACAAUAUCCUUUAUAGAAUAAGUCUCUAAGUGCUUGAAGAUUAUGUGCUAUGCUAAAGAAAAGGAUCAACCAAAAAUGAAAAUUUGUGUCAUUGGAAAUACUUUUUUUUCUCUAUUACAUGAAUGUUAUCAAAGACCCAGUGUUACAGUACAUUUGUCAAGGUACUCUCACACUGUUUUCAGGAUAUUAACCUUUGAAUAUGUUCCUCCACACUUGCACUGACUUGUCCUGCCUUACUUUUCCAUGUGCUCUAAUGUGUCCAUUU
Molecule: non-coding RNA, 1647 nt
Organism: Pimephales promelas (fathead minnow)
Lineage: Eukaryota; Metazoa; Chordata; Actinopteri; Cypriniformes; Leuciscidae
Source: RefSeq, a predicted model, not a curated record